This 637-nucleotide long non-coding RNA is filed under the name Ovis aries (sheep). RNAcentral describes it as "lncRNA (ENSOARG00000026838.1)". The record is from RNAcentral. Lineage: Eukaryota; Metazoa; Chordata; Mammalia; Artiodactyla; Bovidae.
UAUGGACUCAUCUUUUCACAUACUGUGAUUCUGCUGGAGAAGGUAGAGGGUGAGCAACACUAGAAAAAACUGUGUUUCUUUAAUCCUUACAGCUAUAACCUCCUGCCUGUGAUUACUUGUUCUGCCUAAGAACUAAGGUCCCAUCAUAUGCCUCUCAAGCAUUUUUUGCUAUAACAAUUAAAUGUAUAUAGUAUACAUGCUAUAGUUGAAUGCAGAUUUUCAAUAUCAGUGACCAUUCCUAAGAUUCACAGCAAAGAAUUCAUUGUUUUCCUAUACUUUAACUGCUGUGCUUUCUUUUCCUUGCUUUAAUAUAAGUUGCCUACUAUUAGAUGCUAAGCAAUCCUAUAUUCACAUUAGAUUUGUCAUAAACUAUGAACCCAGCAGAAAUUUCCAGUUUGACUGUUCAUCACCUCAUUCCAAGACAAAGAAAGCACAUGUAGAAUGUUUGGGUUUCUUCUUUCCUCUGUCAGGAGUAACCUUCUUCAAAUCACAUGUUCCAGGCUUGUUUCUACUCAUUUUUCAUAUCCCAACAUAUACAUUGAUUCCUUUGUGAAUUUGUGCUAGAGUUUUGGUCCUACACUUGUGGUUUUUCCGCUGUAGUUUCCAUGUUGGUCUGUUGAUAAUGCUGUCACAAUAC